This is a long non-coding RNA of Raphanus sativus (radish), 2328 nucleotides long. RefSeq lists it as uncharacterized. The transcript is spliced from 8 exons. The record is from RefSeq and is a predicted model, not a curated record. NCBI's taxonomy places the organism in Eukaryota, Viridiplantae, Streptophyta, Magnoliopsida, Brassicales, Brassicaceae.
AAAACAGAAAAGCAAUAACGACUUUUCUCCUUCGACUGUUUUUUCAUUCUUCGAUAUUGUUUCCUCUUCACCAAACCCUAUUUCCUCUUCAUCGAUCGAAUAUGUACUCUGGAUAUUUACCGUGAAUCACCGAAACUGGAGAAAUAUAUCUCUGGAAGAAGGUUUUUCUUAAACAGUUGGAUAUUUACUUCUGCAGUUUCUUCUAUGAUGAAGGAGCACGAGUCAAUACAAUUAACUUACUACAGAAGAUCGGACUAUAAAAAGUGAUGUCCCAAAAAACAGUCUUCGGAGGAGAAUACGAACAGAGAACAUUGAUAGUCGGAGUCUACAAGGUAUAACAGCUUCUUGGAGCUAAAAUGGAGUUAAUAGAUGGUGUGUGGGUCAACGAAAGGAGUGUCAUGAAGAUGCUUUUACAGUGUAUCGUCUCUUUCGCAAUGCAGUGGAGAAGGAAGAAAGGGAUGGGUAUGGAGAAACAUAGAUUAAGGUCAAUCCAUGGAAACCGUAUAAGGAAUCAAGAUGGAGAAACAGAGAGUAUGUGCAAUCCUUAGGUUCUCUUGCCAACGUAAGGGAUUGACAUGGCUGCUUCCUGAGAAGUUUACUGCUUCAGAUAUUGGACCCAAAGCAGUUACUGCUUUCUUGGGCAUAUUCACAACCAUCAAUGAACACAUCAUUCAAAAUGUUCCGACCACCCGUGUGAUACUGGACCAUCCGGGACUGAUUCAUCCCUUUCUUAUCCCCUACUCAUCUCCUGGAGGAUUCUAUGAACAGCAAUGGUACACUAAACUUCUUGAGAUCUUCGGUCCUGGUGUUGUUGACGUAGUGACUCACCAUAUUUACAUUCUUGGUUCAGGGAAUGAUCUACAGCUAGUGAAGAAGAUACUUGGGAACCGUUGUGGACGUGGCUAGUAAACACUGAUAUGGAGAAGAAGGCAAGUGGAGCUAUGACAGAAGCUGUGAAGAUUCUUAUUUUCGCUCCCACUAUUAGCAAAAGCAAGUCUCGAGAAUUCAAGGGUUUCCUUUGUGACAUCGGCUCUCAUGGCGGAAGCGCUAGCCCUGUUGAAAGCAGUGAGGUCGGGAAGAAGAGAAGAAAUGAAGACUGUGGUUUUUGAAUCAGACUCUGCUCAAUUGAUAACAUGUCUGAAGAUGGGAACUUGAUCCCAGAACUGUAUGGAGUGAUUGAAGAUAUCUUAGCUAUUGUGCCCUUUUUCGAUUCUGCCUCUUUCUCUUGGAUUUCUCGUGAACAAAACUCUCUUGCAGAUGGUCUUGCUAAAUCUGCUCUGGUUGUAUCUGAGAACUUGGUGGUUGAUGAAGCCUUUAUGGCCUCCAACUAACUAUUCUAGUUUGAAUUAAUAUAGUAUGUGUUUCAAAAAAAAGAAGAUAGAAUGAAUAUUAGAUAAAUACUCUAGUCAGUGUACUAGAUAAACGAAAUAAUUAAACAUACAGCAGGGUUUUAUAAGAUUGCGAUGCUAACAAAAAUACUCUGAAAUGUAAAGUAUUACUCGAAUCGAUUUCUGCAAUAAUUUCACUCUUAAAUGCAGCGCUGAAACGCGUAGAAACUUAUAUACUCGCAUUAUAUUUCAUGGCAAUAUUUUACAAAUUUACAUUUGUACAGUUGUUUUUUUUUUUUUGUAAACUGCAUACUUAAUUUAAAGAAAAAAAACGAAAAUGUUUACAUAAGCCCACUGGCUUUAGUUUUCUAACAAACACAUACAGAAUCACACAAUCACAUUAGUAAACCCAAGUAGUUAAGCCCAUAACUAAAUCUCUUUCAAUUUGAGAUUUGGAGAGGAAAGGUCACGAAGGGAGGAAAGCGGAGUUGACGAUGGUGAUCAUUCCAAACGAACCCAACUCUGCAUCAUCACUGACGAUCGUGUUGGAUUAGAGUCUCUAAAGCUUUGUAUUUUAUUUUUAAUCUGGCGAUCCAUCAGUUUGAAUAUCCCAUCCACCGAACGUAAGGAGUUUGCAUGUAGUCUGGUGUUUCUUUCAUUCCAAAUCCAAUACACAGUUGCCUGUCAAGCUAAGUAGGAUGAGGAGUCGCUGCGGUAGAGGAACCGAGAUGGAGGACAUCUGAUCCAGCGAGACAACCCAAUCUCUGAAAGAGCAAGCAGCGAGCAUCAACUUGUAUACCCCAAUGGAUGAGUCUGUCUCUAGUCGGAAUUCUGUUCUGAAUCACUAGCCAUAAGUGAAAGCUGUGACUGAGGGAUGGCCCUAGACGUCCAGACAACAGCGUACUAGUCUUUGUACAGUUGUACUCACAUCUAUCACUGAACGCAACCUAAAGAGGUGUAUUUCUUUAAGAUACUUUCGGUGAUCGAUCUUGUAUUAAAA